Molecule: ribosomal RNA, 1004 nt
Filed under: human gut metagenome
Description: bacterial SSU rRNA
Rfam family: Bacterial small subunit ribosomal RNA
Source: RNAcentral
AGUGAGGAAUAUUGGUCAAUGGACGAGAGUCUGAACCAGCCAAGUCGCGUGAGGGAAGACUGCCCUAUGGGUUGUAAACCUCUUUUAUAAGGGAAGAAUAAGUUCUACGUGUAGAAUGAUGCCUGUACCUUAUGAAUAAGCAUCGGCUAACUCCGUGCCAGCAGCCGCGGUAAUACGGAGGAUGCGAGCGUUAUCCGGAUUUAUUGGGUUUAAAGGGUGCGUAGGCGGUUUAUUAAGUUAGUGGUUAAAUAUUUGAGCUAAACUCAAUUGUGCCAUUAAUACUGGUAAACUGGAGUACAGACGAGGUAGGCGGAAUAAGUUAAGUAGCGGUGAAAUGCAUAGAUAUAACUUAGAACUCCGAUAGCGAAGGCAGCUUACCAGACUGUAACUGACGCUGAUGCACGAGAGCGUGGGUAGCGAACAGGAUUAGAUACCCUGGUAGUCCACGCCGUAAACGAUGCUCACUGGUUCUGUGCGAUAUAUUGUACGGGAUUAAGCGAAAGUAUUAAGUGAGCCACCUGGGGAGUACGUCGGCAACGAUGAAACUCAAAGGAAUUGACGGGGGCCCGCACAAGCGGAGGAACAUGUGGUUUAAUUCGAUGAUACGCGAGGAACCUUACCCGGGUUUAAAUGGGAAAUGUCGUAUUUGGAAACAGAUAUUCUCUUCGGAGCGUUUUUCAAGGUGCUGCAUGGUUGUCGUCAGCUCGUGCCGUGAGGUGUCGGGUUAAGUCCCAUAACGAGCGCAACCCUUACCGUUAGUUGCUAGCAGGUAAUGCUGAGCACUCUAACGGGACUGCCACCGUAAGGUGAGAGGAAGGCGGGGAUGACGUCAAAUCAGCACGGCCCUUACACCCAGGGCUACACACGUGUUACAAUGGCCGGUACAGAGGGCCGCUACCAGGUGACUGGAUGCCAAUCUCAAAAGCCGGUCGUAGUUCGGAUUGGAGUCUGAAACCCGCCUCCAUGAAGUUGGAUUCGCUAGUAAUCGCGCAUCAGCCAUGGCG